This 539-nucleotide ribosomal RNA is filed under the name Sanguinoderma rugosum. RNAcentral's name for it is "partial large subunit ribosomal RNA". It matches the Rfam family "Bacterial small subunit ribosomal RNA", at positions 383 to 952 of the family's 1533-position model. The record is from RNAcentral. Lineage: Eukaryota; Fungi; Basidiomycota; Agaricomycetes; Polyporales; Polyporaceae.
CCGAAGGAGUGACUAGCUAACUGAAUCAUAGAAUUUCUUUAAAUUCAUGAUGUCGUAAGGGAAAAUAAUGAUAUUACCUUACUAUGAGUGUCGUCCAAAGCUGGUGCCAGAAGACUCGGUAAGACCAGAGACGCAAACGUUAAUCAUCUUAAACAGGCGUAAAGGGUUUGUAGGCAGCUUUCAUAAUAUUAUUUCUUACAAAAAUAAAGAAGUGGUCUGAUUGAAAGCUAGAAUCAAAAAGAGGUUAUAGUGUAUAACGCCUAGAGGAGGGCUGAUAUCCUUAGAUCCUAGGCAGAAUACUUAGGGCGAAGGCCACUCUCCACUAAUGAUUGACGCUGAGAAACGAAGGUAAGGGUAGGAAAUAGGAUUAGAUACCCCGGUACUCCUUUCUGUAAACGAUGAAUGGUAGUCAUUAGUAAAAUUAACUAGAGACGAAGUUAACACAAUAACCAUUCCGCCUUGUGAGUACUACUGCAAAGUAGAAAACAAAAAAAUUAGUCGGUCUCGAAGCAAACGGAGUGAAGCAUGUUAUUUAAUUA